AAACUUAAGAGUUUGAUCCUGGCUCAGAUUGAACGCUGGCGGCAUGCUUUACACAUGCAAGUCGAACGGCAGCACGGGUGCUUGCACCUGGUGGCGAGUGGCGGACGGGUGAGUAAUACAUCGGAACGUGUCCUGAAGUGGGGGAUAACGCAUCGAAAGAUGUGCUAAUACCGCAUAUACUCUAAGGAGGAAAGUAGGGGAUCGAAAGACCUUAUGCUUUUGGAGCGGCCGAUGUCUGAUUAGCUAGUUGGUAAGGUAAUGGCUUACCAAGGCGACGAUCAGUAGUUGGUCUGAGAGGACGACCUGCCACACUGGGUCUGAGUCACGGCCCAGAAUCCUUCGGGAGGCAGCAGUGGGGAAUUUUGUACAAUGGGCGCAAGCCUGAUCCAGCAAUGCCGCGUGAGUGAAGAAGGCCUUCGGGUUGUAAAGCUCUUUCAGCCGGAAAGAAAACGCACGGGUUAAUAACCUGUGUGGAUGACGGUACCGGAAGAAGAAGCACCGGCUAACUACGUGCCAGCAGCCGCGGUAAUACG
This 533-nucleotide ribosomal RNA is filed under the name Nitrosomonas sp. RNAcentral's name for it is "bacterial SSU rRNA". It matches the Rfam family "Bacterial small subunit ribosomal RNA", at positions 1 to 527 of the family's 1533-position model. The record is from RNAcentral. Lineage: Bacteria; Pseudomonadati; Pseudomonadota; Betaproteobacteria; Nitrosomonadales; Nitrosomonadaceae.